UCGUGGGCGGCGCCGCGGCCUUUCCGCCUCGUCCCGCCGCCCCGGCUCCGCUCCGGCUCCCCAGUGAGCGCGCCGACCCGGUGGAAGGCAGGUGUAUGAAGCUGGUUGUUACGACCUGAAUGGCACCCAGGAGCACAAAGGUCGCCAUGAGGAUCUGAAAGGUUGAUCUCGGGAACUUCUAGAAGUGUGAGGAGCGCUGCAGUGUCGCUGUUGGACAGAUCGUGAGCGCGCAUUUAAGACAGGCUGAGAAGAAACCUGUGCUGCUGCCAGCCUUGUGUUUUUUACAAGACAGCCAGAAAGUAGCUUCUGACCAAAAACAUUAAGGGGAAGGUUUCCUAUCACCCCUUCCCCUAGCAACUAAAAGUUUAUGUGAAAUCAGCUAAAAUAGCAACCAGAUUUAUACCAUUGCUAUAGCCUUUCCCUUAUCAAGAAAGAGCAAAUAGUGUGUUCAGGCGUUCAUAAACUUUAUUGAAAGUACUGUAGUAGGAGCUGGGAACACAGUGAAGAACAAAGCACAGUUGAUUGGAGGGAAUCUCUUCCUUGUGAGUCCCCCGAGGCAGAAACCGACCUAGUUAGAGAAACCUGAGAGCAGAGUUGAGUGGAAGGGUAGGUGCCACUGCGAGGCGUGGGGGGAAAUGGCCAUGUACAGGGAUAGGUCGGAAGUCCACUUGUCUGGCAGCCUUGCUGCUUUCGCUCUUCAUCUCUGGUUUAGAGUGCUCAGUGAGGCUGUAAGGUGACUUGUAAGAGGUGGUCCUGUUAGGAGAUGAGACCAGGCCACUUAAGGCUUGGGCUUUUUCACAGCAAGAAAAUCCAGUAGAAAAGUAAAGAGAAGGUGGGCCAGUAGGAUGAGCUGAAAAGUGUGCUUAGGAUGAUAGAAGCAAAAUAAGAUUAAGGCUAAAAGGAGGCUUCAGUACAUUAAGAGCAGCCAUAAGGACACUGGAACAAGUGGACACUGAAGUAUAGGUGAGACAGAAACGACAGGGGGGAGUUGAUGGCACCUGUGACUGUUACAGAGUAGUCCCUGUAUAUUGGAAAGUCGUCUGUACAGUGAAAAGACACUGGGUAGAUAUGACCAGGCACAGUUGGAGGGAUGAGAGAUCCACAGAUACAUGCCCCCCCCAAGAAACACAUGACAAGGACACUUCUAAACAACACUUGACCGCGUUUUAUAUUGUCUGUAAAUAGCCAGUGGAACUUAAUGCCACAAAACAAUAUUCCAAAGGGUUGAAAGGCAGCCUGCAUGUGAUGCCCGUCCCGGCACGCCUCGGCACCAGCUGUGGAAAGAAGGAUGCUCUCCUCCACUGCACACUCGUGCGUGGCUUGCUACGGCCCCAGAAGUCCAGUGUGCUUGCCAGAAGCCGCUGGUCUUGAUUGAGGCGAACACUGAAUUUGGUGGUUUGGGUUUCAGAAGAAAGUGGCAUCGAGUGAUUAUUAUCCUUCCAGUUCAAAAGCCCUUCAGCACAAGUAUGCUGUAGUCAGGCCUUUAAGAGAAGCAAAAAAAAAAAAAAAAAAAGGCAUCUUUUCAUGUGC
This is a long non-coding RNA of Jaculus jaculus (lesser Egyptian jerboa), 1530 nucleotides long. RefSeq lists it as uncharacterized. NCBI's taxonomy places the organism in Eukaryota, Metazoa, Chordata, Mammalia, Rodentia, Dipodidae. The record is from RefSeq and is a predicted model, not a curated record. The transcript has 3 exons.